AACGAACGCUGGCGGCAGGCCUAACACAUGCAAGUCGAGCAGACCUUCGGGUCUAGCGGCGGACGGGUUAGUAACGCGUGGGAACGUGCCCUUCUCUGCGGAAUAGCCACUGGAAACGGUGAGUAAUACCGCAUACGCCCUUCGGGGGAAAGAUUUAUCGGAGAAGGAUCGGCCCGCGUUAGAUUAGAUAGUUGGUGGGUAACGGCCUACCAAGUCUACGAUCUAUAGCUGGUUUUAGAGGAUGAUCAGCAACACUGGGACUGAGACACGGCCCAGACUCCUACGGGAGGCAGCAGUGGGGAAUCUUAGACAAUGGGCGCAAGCCUGAUCUAGCCAUGCCGCGUGUGUGAUGAAGGUCUUAGGAUCGUAAAGCACUUUCGCCAGGGAUGAUAAUGACAGUACCUGGUAAAGAAACCCCGGCUAACUCCGUG
This 431-nucleotide ribosomal RNA is filed under the name uncultured bacterium. Its description in RNAcentral is "bacterial SSU rRNA". It matches the Rfam family "Bacterial small subunit ribosomal RNA", at positions 29 to 507 of the family's 1533-position model. The record is from RNAcentral.